CCCUGGCCCUGAAGCCUAUGAACGUGGAAGGGUCCUUCAUGAACCUUGACUGUGUUGGUAAAAGAGCAGGUUGUCAGAACCACACAAUAGGUAGAGGACUUGGGUUGGCAAAGGGAGCUUGGGAGACUGGUGAGGUGUGAAGACCCUGAUUACCAUGUGAAAGACAUGAAAGUUUUGGUCUUACCAACUAAUCGUAAACAAGAGGAUUAAAACAGUAUUUUUGAAUAAUUGUUUCUACUUUCUUACUUAUUUUUAAGUUUGGAAA
Molecule: long non-coding RNA, 265 nt
Organism: Ochotona curzoniae (black-lipped pika)
Lineage: Eukaryota; Metazoa; Chordata; Mammalia; Lagomorpha; Ochotonidae
Exons: 2
Source: RefSeq, a predicted model, not a curated record